CCCUUAGAUGUCCUGGGCCGCACGCGCGCUACAAUGAUAAAUUCAGAAUGUUUUUCCUGCCCUGGAAAGGUGUGGGUAAUCAUUAUAGUAUUUAUCGUGUUAGGGAUCGAUCUUUGCAAUUAUAGAUCUUGAACGAGGAAUGCCUAGUAAGUGCAGCUCAUCAGGCUGUACUGAUUACGUCCCUGCCCUUUGUACACACCGCCCGUCGCUCCUACCGAUUUCGAGUGUUCAGGUGAAUCUUCUGGACUGAGUCGCAAGACCCGGGAAGUUAGAUAAAUCUUAACACUUAGAGGAAGGAGAANUCGUAACA
This 310-nucleotide ribosomal RNA is filed under the name uncultured eukaryote. RNAcentral's name for it is "partial 18S ribosomal RNA". It matches the Rfam family "Eukaryotic small subunit ribosomal RNA", at positions 1470 to 1796 of the family's 1831-position model. The record is from RNAcentral.